This 274-nucleotide ribosomal RNA is filed under the name uncultured bacterium. Its description in RNAcentral is "partial 16S ribosomal RNA". It matches the Rfam family "Bacterial small subunit ribosomal RNA", at positions 523 to 796 of the family's 1533-position model. The record is from RNAcentral.
AUACUGAGGGUGCAAGCGUUAAUCGGAAUUACUGGGCGUAAAGCGCACGUAGGCGGUUUAUUAAGUCAGAUGUGACAGCCCUGGGCUUAACCUGGGAACUGCAUUUGAGACUGGUAGGCUAGAGUAUGGUAGAGGAUAGUGGAAUUCCGGGUGUAGCGGUGAAAUGCGUAGAUAUCCGGAGGAACAUCAGUGGCGAAGGCGGCUAUCUGGACCAAUACUGACGCUGAGGUGCGAAAGCGUGGGGAGCAAACAGGAUUAGAUACCCUAGUAGUCC